RNAcentral lists this ribosomal RNA (745 nucleotides) under uncultured bacterium. RNAcentral's name for it is "bacterial SSU rRNA". It matches the Rfam family "Bacterial small subunit ribosomal RNA", at positions 8 to 796 of the family's 1533-position model. The record is from RNAcentral.
AGAGUUUGAUCAUGGCUCAGAGCGAACGCUGGCGGCAGGCUUAACACAUGCAAGUCGAGCGGGCGUAGCAAUACGUCAGCGGCAGACGGGUGAGUAACGCGUGGGAACGUACCUUUUGGUUCGGAACAACACAGGGAAAACUUGUGCUAAUACCGGAUAAGCCCUUACGGGGAAAGAUUUAUCGCCGAAAGAUCGGCCCGCGUCUGAUUAGCUAGUUGGUGAGGUAACGGCUCACCAAGGCGACGAUCAGUAGCUGGUCUGAGAGGAUGAUCAGCCACAUUGGGACUGAGACACGGCCCAAACUCCUACGGGAGGCAGCAGUGGGGAAUAUUGGACAAUGGGCGCAAGCCUGAUCCAGCCAUGCCGCGUGAGUGAUGAAGGCCCUAGGGUUGUAAAGCUCUUUUGUGCGGGAAGAUAAUGACGGUACCGCAAGAAUAAGCCCCGGCUAACUUCGUGCCAGCAGCCGCGGUAAUACGAAGGGGGCUAGCGUUGCUCGGAAUCACUGGGCGUAAAGGGUGCGUAGGCGGGUCUUUAAGUCAGGGGUGAAAUCCUGGAGCUCAACUCCAGAACUGCCUUUGAUACUGAAGAUCUUGAGUUCGGGAGAGGUGAGUGGAACUGCGAGUGUAGAGGUGAAAUUCGUAGAUAUUCGCAAGAACACCAGUGGCGAAGGCGGCUCACUGGCCCGAUACUGACGCUGAGGCACGAAAGCGUGGGGAGCAAACAGGAUUAGAUACCCCGGUAGUCC